GAUGAACGCUAGCGGCAGGCUUAAUACAUGCAAGUCGAGGGGCAGCAUGAGUAGCAAUACUUGAUGGCGACCGGCAAACGGGUGCGGAACACGUACAGAACCUUCCUUCGAGCGGGGAAUAGCCCGGAGAAAUCCGGAUUAAUACCCCAUAGUAAAUUGAAAAGGCAUCUUUUUAAUUUUAAAGUAUUUAUCACUUGAAGAUGGCUGUGCGCCUGAUUAGGUAGUUGGCGGGGUAACGGCCCACCAAGCCUUCGAUCAGUAACUGGUGUGAGAGCACGACCAGUCACACGGGCACUGAGACGACGGGCCCGACUCCUACGGGAGGCAGCAGUAAGGAAUAUUGGUCAAUGGACGCAAGUCUGAACCAGCCAUGCCGCGUGGAGGAUGAAGGUCCUCUGGAUU
RNAcentral lists this ribosomal RNA (402 nucleotides) under uncultured bacterium. Its description in RNAcentral is "bacterial SSU rRNA". It matches the Rfam family "Bacterial small subunit ribosomal RNA", at positions 28 to 424 of the family's 1533-position model. The record is from RNAcentral.